RNAcentral lists this ribosomal RNA (431 nucleotides) under uncultured bacterium. RNAcentral describes it as "bacterial SSU rRNA". It matches the Rfam family "Bacterial small subunit ribosomal RNA", at positions 906 to 1338 of the family's 1533-position model. The record is from RNAcentral.
GAAUUAGACAGGAGGCCACCCAAGCGGAGGAACAUGUGGUUUAAUUCGAUGAUACGCGAGGAACCUUACCCGGGCUUGAACUGCCAGCGAACAAUACAGAGAUGUUGAGGCCCUUCGGGGCGCUGGUGGAGGUGCUGCAUGGUUGUCGUCAGCUCGUGCCGUGAGGUGUCGGCUUAAGUGCCAUAACGAGCGCAACCCUUUUCAUUAGUUGCCAUCAGGUCAUGCUGGGCACUCUGAUGAUACUGCCACCGUAAGGUGUGAGGAAGGUGGGGAUGACGUCAAAUCAGCACGGCCCUUACGUCCGGGGCUACACACGUGUUACAAUGGGUGGUACAGAGAGCUGGGUGCCCGCAAGGUCGCCCCAAUCUUCAAAGCCAUCCUCAGUUCGGAUUGGGGUCUGCAACCCGACCCCAUGAAGCUGGAUUCGCUAG